Molecule: transfer RNA, 73 nt
Filed under: Felis catus (domestic cat)
Lineage: Eukaryota; Metazoa; Chordata; Mammalia; Carnivora; Felidae
Rfam family: tRNA
About the family: Transfer RNA (tRNA) molecules are approximately 80 nucleotides in length. Their secondary structure includes four short double-helical elements and three loops (D, anti-codon, and T loops).
Source: Rfam by way of RNAcentral
GCCUGGCUGGCUCAGUCGGUAGAGCAUGCAACUCUUGAUUUCAGGGCUGUGGGUUCGAGCCCCACAACGGGUA